GAUGAACGCUGGCGGCGUGCCUAAUACAUGCAAGUCGAGCGAACGGACGAGAAGCUUGCCUUUCUGAUGUUAGCGGCGGACGGGUGAGUAACACGUGGAUAACCUACCUAUAAGACUGGGAUAACUUCGGGAAACCGGAGCUAAUACCGGAUAAUAUUUUGAACCGCAUGGUUCAAAAGUGAAAGACGGUCUUGCUGUCACUUAUAGAUGGAUCCGCGCUGCAUUAGCUAGUUGGUAAGGUAACGGCUUACCAAGGCAACGAUGCAUAGCCGACCUGAGAGGGUGAUCGGCCACCCUGGAAGUGAGACACGGUCCAGACUCCUACGGGAGGCCGCAGUAGGGAAUCUUCCGCGAUGGGCGAAAGCCUGACGGAGCAACGCCGCGUGAGUGAUGAAGGUCUUCGGAUCGUAGAACUCUGUUAUUAGGGAAGAACAUAUGUGUAAGUAACUGUGCACAUCUUGACGGUACCUAAUCAGAAAGCCACGGCUAACUACGUG
Molecule: ribosomal RNA, 497 nt
Filed under: uncultured bacterium
Lineage: Bacteria
Description: partial 16S ribosomal RNA
Rfam family: Bacterial small subunit ribosomal RNA
Source: RNAcentral